GCCAGGUGCAGUGGCAUGUGCCUGUAGUCCCAGCUACUCGGGAGGCUGAGGCUGGAGGAUCACUUGAGUCCAGGAGUUCUGCUGUAGUGCACUAUGCCGAUCAGGUGUCCGCACUAAGUUUGGCAUCAAUAUGGUGACCUCACAGGAGCAGGGGACCACCAGGUUGCCUAAGGAGGGGUGAACCGGCCCAGGUUGGAAACAGAGCAGGUCAAAACUCCUGUGCUGAUCAGCAGUGGGACUGUGCCUGUGAAUAGCCACUGCACUCCAGCCUAGGCAACUUAGCGAGACCCCUUCUCU
Molecule: unclassified non-coding RNA, 297 nt
Organism: Cebus imitator (Panamanian white-faced capuchin)
Lineage: Eukaryota; Metazoa; Chordata; Mammalia; Primates; Cebidae
Rfam family: Metazoan signal recognition particle RNA
About the family: The signal recognition particle (SRP) is a universally conserved ribonucleoprotein. It is involved in the co-translational targeting of proteins to membranes. The eukaryotic SRP consists of a 300-nucleotide 7S RNA and six proteins: SRPs 72, 68, 54, 19, 14, and 9.
Source: Ensembl